AGAGUUUGAUCAUGGCUCAGAAUCAACGCUGGCGGCGCGCCUAACACAUGCAAGUCGAACGAGAAAGUGGAGCAAUCCAUGAGUACAGUGGCGUACGGGUGAGUAACACGUGGGUAAUCUACCUCUUUGUGUGGAAUAACCCUGGGAAACCGGGGCUAAUACCGCAUAAGCUCGAGAGAGGAAAGCAGCAAUGCGCUGAGAGAGGAGCCCGCGGCCGAUUAGCUAGUUGGCAGGGUAAAAGCCUACCAAGGCAAAGAUCGGUAGCCGGCCUGAGAGGGCACACGGCCACACUGGCACUGAAACACGGGCCAGACUCCUACGGGAGGCAGCAGUGGGGAAUCUUGCACAAUGGGGGAAACCCUGAUGCAGCGACGCCGCGUGAGCGAUGAAGCCCCUCGGGGUGUAAAGCUCUUUCGGCAGGGAAGAUGAUGACGGUACCUGCAGAAGCAGCUGCGGCUAACUACGUGCCAGCAGCCGCGGUAAUACGUAGGCAGCAAGCGUUGUUCGGAGUUACUGGGCGUAAAGGGUGUGUAGGCGGUCUUUUAAGUUUGGUGUGAAAUCUCCCGGCUCAACUGGGAGGGUGCGUCGAAUACUGAAAGACUAGAGUGCGGGAGAGGAUAGUGGAAUUCCUGGUGUAGCGGUGAAAUGCGUAGAUAUCAGGAGGAACACCGGUGGUGUAGACGGCUAUCUGGACCGUAACUGACGCUGAGACACGAAAGCGUGGGUAGCAAACAGGAUUAGAUACCCUGGUAGUCCACGCCCUAAACGAUGCAUAUUUGGUGUGGGCAGUUCAGUCUGUCCGUGCCGGAGCUAACGCGUUAAAUAUGCCGCCUGGGGAGUACAGUCGCAAGGCUGAAACUCAAAGGAAUUGACGGGGGCCCGCACAAGCGGUGGAGCAUGUGGUUCAAUUCGACGCAACGCGAAGAACCUUACCUGGGCUCGAACGGCUGGUUAACGCCGGUGGAAACAUCGGUACUCCGCAAGGAGGUCCAGUCGAGGUGCUGCAUGGCUGUC
RNAcentral lists this ribosomal RNA (1014 nucleotides) under uncultured bacterium. Its description in RNAcentral is "bacterial SSU rRNA". It matches the Rfam family "Bacterial small subunit ribosomal RNA", at positions 8 to 1053 of the family's 1533-position model. The record is from RNAcentral.